UCGAAUCAGGUAGGACU
RNAcentral lists this ribosomal RNA (17 nucleotides) under Metarhizium anisopliae. RNAcentral's name for it is "partial 28S ribosomal RNA". The record is from RNAcentral. RNAcentral also lists the same sequence under 1 other name. Lineage: Eukaryota; Fungi; Ascomycota; Sordariomycetes; Hypocreales; Clavicipitaceae.